AAAUGUAACGGGGCUCAAGCCAUGUGCCGAAGCUGCGGGUUUGACGAUUUCGGUCGUCAAGCGGUAGCGGAGCGUUCUGUAGGCCUGUGAAGGGGGACCCGUGAGGGCCCCUGGAGGUAUCAGAAGUGCGAAUGCUGACAUGAGUAACGUAAAACAGUGUGAGAAACACUGUCGCCGAAAGUCUACGGGUUCCUGCGUAAAGCUAAUCUGCGCAGGGUCAGCCGGCCCCUAAGAUAAGGCCGAAAGGCGUAGUCGAUGGGAAUCAGGUGAAUAUUCCUGAGCCAGUGGGUGGUGACGAAUUCCGUAUGUUGUUGGAUCUUAUUGGAUUGAUCCGGCAUCGAAGGGGUUCCAGGAAAUAGCCCCCACAUCAGACCGUACCCUAGACCGACACAGGUGGACUGGUAGAGCAUACUAAGGCGAUUGAGUUAAAGAUGCUGAAGGAACUCGGCAAAUUGCCUCCGUAACUUCGGAAGAAGGAGGCCCGAUUGGUGGGCAACCAUCAGUCGGGGGCACAGACCAAGGGGUAGCGACUGUUUAUCAAAAACACAGGGCUCUGCGAAGUCCAAAGACGACGUAUAGGGUCUGACGCCUGCCCGGUGCCGGAAGGUUAAGAGGAGGGGUGCAAGCUCUGAAUCGAAGCCCCGGUAAACGGCGGCCGUAACAAUAACGGUCCUAAGGUAGCGAAAUUCCUUGUCGGGUAAGUUCCGACCUGCACGAAGGCGUAACGACUUCCCCGCUGUCUCCAGCAUCUGCUCAGUGAAAUUGAAUUCCCCGUGAAGAUGCGGGGUUCCUGCGGUUAGACGGAAAGACCCCAUGAACCUUUACUAUAACUUUGCACUGGCAUUCGUGAAAGUAUGUGUAGGAUAGGUGGCAGGCUUUGAAGCUUGGGCGCCAGCUCAGGUGGAGCCAACCUUGAAAUACCACCCUUAAUUUCAUGAAUGUCUAACCGCGGCCCGUUAUCCGGGCUCGAGACAGUGCAUGGUGGGUAGUUUGACUGGGGCGGUCGCCUCCCAAAGCAUAACGGAGGCGCGCGAUGGUGGGCUCAGAGCGGUCGGAAAUCGCUCGUCGAGUGCAAUGGCAUAAGCCCGCCUGACUGCGAGACUGACAAGUCGAGCAGAGUCGAAAGACGGUCAUAGUGAUCCGGUGGUCCCACGUGGACGGGCCAUCGCUCAACGGAUAAAAGGUACUCUGGGGAUAACAGGCUGAUGAUGCCCAAGCGUCCAUAGCGACGGCAUCGUUUGGCACCUCGAUGUCGACUCAUCACAUCCUGGGGCUGGAGCAGGUCCCAAGGGUUCAGCUGUUCGCCGAUUAAAGUGGUACGUGAGUUGGGUUCAGAACGUCGUGAGACAGUUCGGUCCCUAUCUGCCGUGGGUGUAGGAGAAUUGAGAGGAUCUGUCCCUAGUACGAGAGGACCGGGAUGGACGUACCUCUGGUGGACCUGUUGUGGCGCCAGCCGCAUUGCAGGGUAGCUAAGUACGGACGGGAUAACCGCUGAAGGCAUCUAAGUGGGAAACCCACCUCAAAACUAUUUCUCCCUGAAGAGUCGUGGUAGACCACCACGUUGAUAGGCCGGGUGUGGAAGUGCAGCAAUGCAUGGAGCUUACCGGUACUAAUAGCUC
This 1619-nucleotide ribosomal RNA is filed under the name metagenome. RNAcentral describes it as "bacterial LSU rRNA". It matches the Rfam family "Bacterial large subunit ribosomal RNA", at positions 1168 to 2910 of the family's 2925-position model. The record is from RNAcentral.